UGGGGAAUUUUGGACAAUGGGCGAAAGCCUGAUCCAGCCAUGCCGCGUGAGUGAAGAAGGCCUUCGGGUUGUAAAGCUCUUUUAGUCGGAAAGAAAGAGUUGCAAUGAAUAAUUGUGAUUUAUGACGGUACCGACAGAAAAAGCACCGGCUAACUACGUGCCAGCAGCCGCGGUAAUACGUAGGGUGCGAGCGUUAAUCGGAAUUACUGGGCGUAAAGGGUGCGCAGGCGGUCUUGCAAGUCAGAUGUGAAAGCCCCGGGCUUAACCUGGGAAUUGCGUUUGAAACUACAAGACUAGAGUGCAGCAGAGGGGAGUGGAAUUCCAUGUGUAGCAGUGAAAUGCGUAGAUAUCAAGAGGAACACCUGAGGCGAAGGCGGGUUGCUGGGCCGACACUGACGCUGAUGCGCGAAAGCCAGGGGAGCAAACG
This 427-nucleotide ribosomal RNA is filed under the name uncultured bacterium. Its description in RNAcentral is "bacterial SSU rRNA". It matches the Rfam family "Bacterial small subunit ribosomal RNA", at positions 355 to 774 of the family's 1533-position model. The record is from RNAcentral.